RNAcentral lists this transfer RNA (74 nucleotides) under Candidatus Annandia adelgestsuga. Its description in RNAcentral is "tRNA-Asn". It matches the Rfam family "tRNA". From Rfam's summary of the family: Transfer RNA (tRNA) molecules are approximately 80 nucleotides in length. Their secondary structure includes four short double-helical elements and three loops (D, anti-codon, and T loops). Further hydrogen bonds mediate the characteristic L-shaped molecular structure. tRNAs have two regions of fundamental functional importance: the anti-codon, which is responsible for specific mRNA codon recognition, and the 3' end, to which the tRNAs corresponding amino acid is attached (by aminoacyl-tRNA synthetases). tRNAs cope with the degeneracy of the genetic code in two manners: having more than one tRNA (with a specific anti-codon) for a particular amino acid; and 'wobble' base-pairing, i.e. permitting non-standard base-pairing at the 3rd anti-codon position. Lineage: Bacteria; Pseudomonadati; Pseudomonadota; Gammaproteobacteria; Enterobacterales; Enterobacteriaceae. The record is from RNAcentral.
UUCCCCUGUAGUUCAGUGGUAGAACGCCGGACUGUUAAUCCGUAUGUCACUGGUUCGAAUCCAGUCGGGGGAGA